This 500-nucleotide ribosomal RNA is filed under the name uncultured Myrionecta. RNAcentral describes it as "SSU rRNA". It matches the Rfam family "Eukaryotic small subunit ribosomal RNA", at positions 35 to 600 of the family's 1831-position model. Lineage: Eukaryota; Ciliophora; Litostomatea; Cyclotrichida; Mesodiniidae. The record is from RNAcentral.
ACCGUUAGACUAGCCAUGCACGUCUAAGUACAAACUAAAUGAUGGUGAAACUGCAAAUGGCUCAUUACAACGGUUAUGAUGUACCCGGGAGUUCCGAUGGAUAUUUCCAGUAACACUAGAACUAAUACAUGUCCCUGCGUUUAUUAGUUUCGCACAGUCCGUCGCUGAGUCAUGGUAAACAGUUGAUCGACUCGACGUCCCGGAACAGUUUCCGCCCCAUCAGCUUCGAUGGUUGGGUAUUGGCCUACCAUUGCAACAACGGGUAACGAGGAAUUAGGGUUUGAUUUCGGAGAGGGAGCCUGAGAAACGGCUACCACAUCUACGGAUGGCAGCAGGCGCGCAAAUUACCCAAUGCAGACACUGUGAGGUAGUGACGAGAAAUAAUAAAGCGGGACUUCUGUUUCGCUAUUAUAAUGAGGAAUAACCAAAGGUCAUUCCGAUUAGCAACUGAUGGGAAAGUCUGGUGCCAGCAGCCGCGGUAAUACCAGCGUCAGUAGCAU